This 951-nucleotide non-coding RNA is filed under the name Macropinna microstoma (barreleye). RNAcentral's name for it is "12S rRNA". It matches the Rfam family "Bacterial small subunit ribosomal RNA". The record is from RNAcentral. Lineage: Eukaryota; Metazoa; Chordata; Actinopteri; Argentiniformes; Opisthoproctidae.
UAAAGGCUUGGUCCUGACUUUACUAUCAGCUUUAUACCAGAUCUAUACAUGCAAGUCUCCGCACCCCUGUGAGAAUGCCCUUAAUCCCCCACCCGGGGGUGAGGAGCCGGCAUCAGGCACGCCCCGGCAGCCCAAAACGCCUUGCUAAGCCACACCCCCAAGGGUAUUCAGCAGUAAUAAACAUUAAGCCAUGAGCGAAAGCUUGACUUAGUUAAGGUAAAUAGGGUCGGUAAAACUCGUGCCAGCCACCGCGGUUAUACGAGAGACCCAAGUUGAUAUUUACCGGCGUAAAGAGUGGUUAUGGGACUUAAUAAACUAAAGCCAAACACCUCCUAGGCUGUCAUACGCACCUGAAGGCACGAAACCCCCUCACGAAAGUAGCUUUACCCUCUCCCCCGAACCCACGACAACUAUGCCACAAACUGGGAUUAGAUACCCCACUAUGCUUAGCCGUAAACUUUGAUAAAAAAAUACAACUGAUAUCCGCCAGGGUACUACAAGCGCCAGCUUAAAACCCAAAGGACUUGGCGGUGCCACAGACCCACCUAGAGGAGCCUGUUCUAGAACCGAUACCCCCCGUUCAACCUCACCACCCCUUGUUAAUCCCGCCUAUAUACCGCCGUCGUCAGCUUACCCUGUGAAGGCCUCAUAGUAAGCAAAAAGAGUAUAACCCCAAACGUCAGGUCGAGGUGUAGCGUAUGGGGUGGGAAGAAAUGGGCUACAUUCUCUAGCCUAGAGCAAUACGAAUAAUACUGUGAAACCAGUAAUUAAAGGUGGAUUUAGCAGUAAAUAGAAAAUAGAGAAUUCUCUUGAAACUGGCUCUGAGGCGCGCACACACCGCCCGUCACUCUCCCCGAGUCCUUCUUUCUCCAAAUAACUAAGAAAACAACCGGACUAAGGGGAGGCAAGUCGUAACAUGGUAAGUGUACCGGAAGGUGCACUUGGAAUAAG